AUUGAACGCUGGCGGUAUGCUUAACACAUGCAAGUCGAACGUGAAAGAGGGGUAACCCUUUAGUAGAGUGGCGGACGGGUGAGUAAUACGUAGGAAUCUACCUUAGAGUGGGGGAUAACCCGGGGAAACCCGGGCUAAUACCGCAUUGUCUCUAUGGAGUAAAGGUGGCUAGCAAUAGCUAUCGCUCUAAGAUGAGCCUACGCCGGAUUAGCUUGUUGGUAGGGUAAUGGCCUACCAAGGCCGCGAUCCGUAGCUGGUCUGAGAGGACGACCAGCCACACUGGGACUGAGAUACGGCCCAGACUCCUACGGGAGGCAGCAGUGGGGAAUAUUGGACAAUGGGCGAAAGCCUGAUCCAGCAAUACCGCGUGUGUGAUGAAGGCCUGCGGGUCGUAAAGCACUUUCGUUGGGGAAGAAAUGCUCAAAGUU
This 428-nucleotide ribosomal RNA is filed under the name uncultured bacterium. RNAcentral's name for it is "bacterial SSU rRNA". It matches the Rfam family "Bacterial small subunit ribosomal RNA", at positions 30 to 461 of the family's 1533-position model. The record is from RNAcentral.